RNAcentral lists this non-coding RNA (31 nucleotides) under Rattus norvegicus (Norway rat). Lineage: Eukaryota; Metazoa; Chordata; Mammalia; Rodentia; Muridae. The record is from RNAcentral.
UAAUGGGAUGUGAUGUUACUUCUGACAACUU